RNAcentral lists this non-coding RNA (23 nucleotides) under Cricetulus griseus (Chinese hamster). Lineage: Eukaryota; Metazoa; Chordata; Mammalia; Rodentia; Cricetidae. The record is from RNAcentral.
AAACUGUUUUGAACAAAUGCUGU